AGAAUCCGAGAAUUUCACCUCUGACAGUUAAAUACGAAUGCCCCCAACUAUCCCUAUUUUUAUUACCUCGCUCCGAAAACCAACAACUUCAGAACAAGGUCCUAUGUUAUUAUUCCAUGCUAACGUAUUCACGACAAACGCCUGCUUGAAACACUCUCAUUUCCUCAAAGUAAAAGUACUGGAUCAUGUGCCACACAAUGAAGUGCAAACACGUUCCCCAGAAAAGUGCCAAAGACGGACCGGGUGCACAUCACUAGGAUGGACCGGAGAUCUUCAACAAAUAUUCAACUACGAGCGUUUUAACCGCAACAAUUUUAAUAUACGCUAUUGGAGCUGGAAUUACCG
RNAcentral lists this unclassified non-coding RNA (345 nucleotides) under uncultured bacterium. Its description in RNAcentral is "contains 16S-23S intergenic spacer region". The record is from RNAcentral.